GUGCAGCAGGCGCGAAACCUUAGCACUGUGCGAAAGCACGACUAGGUUAAUCCGAGUGAUUUCUGUUGAAGAAAUCUUUUGUCAGUCGUAAAACCACAGACGAAUAAGGGGUGGGCAAGUCUGGUGUCAGCCGCCGCGGUAAUACCAGCACCUCGAGUGGUCAGGAGGUUUAUUGGGCCUAAAGCAUCCGUAGCCGGCUUUGCAAGUCUCCGGUUAAAUCCAGCUGCUCAACAGAUGGGCUGCCGGAGAUACUACAAAGCUAGGGAGCGGGAGAGGUAGACGGUAUUCGGUGGGUAGGGGUAAAAUCCACUGAUCCAUCGAGGACCACCAGUGGCGAAGGCGGUCUACCAGAACGCGUUCGACGGUGAGGGAUGAAAGCUGGGGGAGCAAACCGGAUUAGAUACCCGGGUAGUCCCAGCUGUAAACGAUGCAAACUCGGUGAUGCAUUGGCUUAUGGCCAAUGCAGUGCCGCAGGGAAGCCGUUAAGUUUGCCGCCUGGGAAGUACGGACGCAAGUCUGAAACUUAAAGGAAUUGGCGGGGGAGCAC
Molecule: ribosomal RNA, 547 nt
Filed under: uncultured archaeon
Lineage: Archaea
Description: bacterial SSU rRNA
Rfam family: Archaeal small subunit ribosomal RNA
Source: RNAcentral